Molecule: long non-coding RNA, 585 nt
Filed under: Homo sapiens (human)
Lineage: Eukaryota; Metazoa; Chordata; Mammalia; Primates; Hominidae
Description: non-protein coding lnc-KCNJ2-5:2
Source: RNAcentral
CAGCAACUCAUUUUCUCUGGGACCCCUCUCUGCACGGAGAGCUCUUCUCUUUCUUUCGCCUAUUAAACUUACAUGGCCGUGGGACAAUGAACCUCAGGUAUUACCCCAGAGAAACAACAUCGCUUCAUUGAGGGGAAUGCAAAAAUGUAGUAAAGGAAAUUGAGAAUGAGAAGCCAAUAAAGUAGGUAAGAAACAAGGUAGAGUGACAUCAUGGAAGCCAAACAAAGCAAGUGUUUCCAGGAUGAAGGCGUGAUCAACUGGGUCAAAUGUAUGGUGACAGAUCAAAUAAGAUGAGGACUAAUCAUUAAUCAUGGAUUUUAGCAACACUGAGUCCCUGUGGACCUUUACAGGAGAAGUUCUGGUGGAGGGCUGAGAGCAAAAGCCUGGUUGAAGUGAGUUUGAAAAGAUGUGAAAUGGUAAGAAUUAAAUACAAUGAAUAUUUUCCUGGACUUUUGAUAUACAGAUUUCUAUAUUGACUUUGAUGAUAAUCAGCCUCUUUGAGGUAACUGCUAUCCUGACUUUGAUGAGAAUCAUUUUCUUUUUUUCCUCUAUUGUUUUAUCUAUUUACCUUUCAGAAAUUGAGUU